CCUACGGGUGGCAGCAGUGGGGAAUAUUGCACAAUGGGGGAAACCCUGAUGCAGCGACGCCGCGUGAGUGAAGAAGUAUCUCGGUAUGUUAAGCUUCAUUAGUAGGGGAGAAAAAAGACGGAACCUGACUCAGAAGCCCGGGCCAACUACGUGCCAGCAGCCGAGGUAAUACGGAGGGGGCAAGCGUUAUCCGGAUUUACUGGGUGUAAACGGAGCGUAGGCGGAGAAGCAAGUCUGAAGUGAAAGCCCGUGGCUUAACCACGGGACUGCAUUGGAAACUGGUUGACUAGAGUGCUGGAGAGGUAAGUGGAAUUCGUGGUGUAGCGGUGAAAUGCGUAGAUAUUACGAGGAACUCCGAUGGCGAAGGCAGCUUACUGGACAGUAACUGACGUUGAGGCUCGAAAGCGUGGGGAGCAAACAGGAUUAGAUACCCUAGUAGUC
RNAcentral lists this ribosomal RNA (441 nucleotides) under uncultured bacterium. RNAcentral describes it as "partial 16S ribosomal RNA". It matches the Rfam family "Bacterial small subunit ribosomal RNA", at positions 338 to 795 of the family's 1533-position model. The record is from RNAcentral.